MicroRNA precursor from Bos indicus x Bos taurus (hybrid cattle), 76 nucleotides. Lineage: Eukaryota; Metazoa; Chordata; Mammalia; Artiodactyla; Bovidae. The record is from Ensembl.
GGGCGGCCUGACCUGAUCAUGCUUACUGAGCAGUCCAUGUGCUUGCUCCCUCAGGAAGCAGGUCAGCUGGCCGCUU